This 97-nucleotide signal recognition particle RNA is filed under the name Pseudomonadota bacterium. Its description in RNAcentral is "signal recognition particle sRNA small type". It matches the Rfam family "Bacterial small signal recognition particle RNA". From Rfam's summary of the family: The signal recognition particle (SRP) is a universally conserved ribonucleoprotein involved in the co-translational targeting of proteins to membranes. Archaeal SRP consists of a 7S RNA and homologues of the eukaryotic SRP19 and SRP54 proteins. RNAcentral also lists the same sequence under 1 other name. The record is from RNAcentral. Lineage: Bacteria; Pseudomonadati; Pseudomonadota.
CGUCGGUUCCUCCGCGACGAUCAGCCGCUAACCCCGCCAGGCCCGGAAGGGAGCAACGGUCCCGGCCCGAUCGGGUGCCGGAGGGGUGCUGGCGCGG